GGUUCGAUGGCGUAGUUGGUUAUCGCAUCUGUCUAACAUGGUAUCAUGCCCCGAAAGUUACACAGAAGGUCCCCAGUUCGAGCCUGGGUCGAAUCA
This is a non-coding RNA of Paramarasmius palmivorus, 96 nucleotides long. The record is from the annotation of a GenBank genome assembly. Lineage: Eukaryota; Fungi; Basidiomycota; Agaricomycetes; Agaricales; Marasmiaceae.